RNAcentral lists this ribosomal RNA (495 nucleotides) under uncultured bacterium. RNAcentral describes it as "partial 16S ribosomal RNA". It matches the Rfam family "Bacterial small subunit ribosomal RNA", at positions 28 to 507 of the family's 1533-position model. The record is from RNAcentral.
GACGAACGCUGGCGGCGUGCCUAAUACAUGCAAGUAGAACGCUGAAGGAGGAGCUUGCUUCUCUGGAUGAGUUGCGAACGGGUGAUUAACGCGUAGGUAACCUGCCUGGUAGCGGGGGAUAACUUUUGGAAACGAUAGCUAAUACCGCAUAAUAGUAGCUGUUGCAUGACAUUUGCUUAAAAGGUGCAAUUGCAUCACUACCAGAUGCACCUGCGUUGUAUUAGCUAGUUGGUGAGGUAACGGCUCACCAAGGCAACGAUACAUAGCCGACCUGAGAGGGUGAUCGGCCACACUGGGACUGAGAGACGGCCCAGAGAUCUGCAGGAGGCAGCAGGAGGGAAGCGUAGGCAAGAGAAGGAAAACUGACCGAAGAAAGAGGAGGGAGUGAAGAAGAUUGUCGGAACGUAAAGUCAUGCUGUAAGGGAAGAACAAGAGUGAGAGUGGAAAGUACACACAGUGACGGUAUCUAACCAGAAAGGGAAGGCUAACUAAGUG